AAGGAUCAUUAGUGAAUUGUAACGGGGUUUGAUGCUGGCUGCCAUUCUUUGGUUUGCAUGUGCCCGCCCCUCAACAAUCCUUUUUCAAACACCUGUGCACCUUGUGACAAUGAUAGGGGGGUUUCCCUAUCCAUUCUUGUCUCAUUAUUCCUAAACGCUGUUUGCAAUGUUGAAUGUGUUUGUGGCUUUAACAAAAUACAACUUUUGACAACGGAUCUCUUGGCUCUCGCAUCGAUGAAGAACGCAGCGAAAUGCGAUAAGUAAUGUGAAUUGCAGAAUUCAGUGAAUCAUCGAAUCUUUGAACGCACCUUGCACUCCCUGGUAUUCCGGGGAGCACACCUGUUCGAGUGUCGUAAACUUAUCAAGCUGGGAUGUUUUUUCUCUGGCUUUGGUCCAUUGGGCUUUGCCGUGUCCUUCAUUGGGAACGGCUGGCCUCAAAAGUAUCAGCUGGCUCAUGUGGGAUUGGUUUUCUACUUGGCGUGAUAAUUAUCUGACCGCUGAGAAAAAGUAUCCCUUUGGGGAUUGCCAAUUUUCAUAUGGGUUGCUUCUAGUCUGAAGCUUUUUUGCUUCAUAUUUUAAACUUUGGCCUCGAAUCAGGUGGGACUACCCGCUGAACUUAA
Molecule: ribosomal RNA, 620 nt
Filed under: uncultured Clavulina
Lineage: Eukaryota; Fungi; Basidiomycota; Agaricomycetes; Cantharellales; Hydnaceae
Description: eukaryotic LSU rRNA
Rfam family: 5.8S ribosomal RNA (bases 200-353)
Source: RNAcentral